CCGUGAUGCUGCUCGCCGGAGAGGAGGACACCACCACCACCACCAUGGCAACGAGCCUAGAUUCGUGCAAAACACCUGAUCUGGAAGAAAACGUUGGCAAUAUCGUACAAAAUUCUGAGCGGUCGUUGACAAUGAGCUGUGAGAAUGUUGAGGAGGAGGUCGAAUGCGAAGCUGAGAAGAAGAAAAAGGAGUCCCAGACGGAUAAAGCACCGAAGGAGUCCAAGAAAAGGAAGGAAAUGGCGCCAAGACUACAGGAGCAACCCCAAUAAGAUCAAUGAUAACAAGCAGCCAACUCUUCAAGCUACAACAGAUCAGGAGGACAGCAGUAAUUGUGCACUCGUUGAUUUAGAAAGUUAAUUUCAGAGGCAUGUCCUCGCUUUACUGUGGGAGAACCACUAUCAGAGAUUGUGUCCGCAUUUACUACCGUGAGAAAGAGGAACUGAGAAAGUUUUUCAUGGAAUCUUGUGCUAGGGUUAGCCUAUCAACCAAUACCUGGACAUGUAUGCAACAGCAGAGCUAUAUUUGUGUUACGGCUCAUUUCCUUGACACUGACUGGAAGCUACAUAAGCAGAUUAUUGGGUUCUUGGUGAGUGGUCGUAAGGGUUCAACAGGUGUUUGGUGGAUUGGGGCUUAGAGAAAGUGUUAUCAAUAACUAUUGACAAUGUAUCAGCAAAUGAUGGCGCUAUAAGUCACAUGAGGAGAGUCAUGAACAAUGCUACAACCAGCAAGCAGAAGGGCAAUGUAUUCACAUGAGAUGUGCAGCCCAUGUCAUAAACUUGAUAGUUUCAGAUUGCCUAAGAGAGUUAGACAUCUCAGUGCAGUGAGCCCGUGCUGCUGUCCGUUUUAUCAGAAAUUCUCCAUCAAGAAUUCACUUGAUUUAAAAGGUGUGCUGACUUGGAAAAGGAGGAGAGCAAAGCCUUCUUACCAUUUGAUAUAUGCACAAAAUGGAACUCCACAUACCUAAUAUUGAAAACUGCAGCCACAUAUGAGAAAUUUGGAAAAAGAUUAGUGAAACACUUAAUGAUUUGUUUAAGAUGUAUGCUUCAAGUGAGAAGAAGGAAAUGGAAUCCAAUGUGGUGCAAGGCACGAGCUUGAUGAGGUCCCUAAUUGCCAAGAGGAUGAGAAUGAACAACUGUGUGAUUGGCCCUACCAAAUCUGAGCUUGAGAAAUAUCUUGCCGAGGAGACUGAAGCAAACACCACCAAAUUUCAUAUGCUCGUUUACACUCUUCAUGGUCCAAGCACUCAUUUGUACUCAUGACUGGACGCGGCAAUCAGCUCCUGUAAAUGAUGAAGAGGAUACAGAACAGUUGACCAAACUAGAGGAAGGCAUGAAAAUAGGUUCAUUUGGUGCUUCCUUUGUUUCCCUAGUUCCUUGCUGAAUUUAACUGCUUACUGGUUACUUCAUUUUAAUCUCACAAUUACUUCAAGAAAUGAGUUGUCUCAAUAUAUCCAAGACUAGCUCUAGUAAAAUAAUUCCAUCACCAUUCAUGAUUCCACAUCAUAAAGAUGGUUUACAGAGAUUGGAGCCUUGGGAAAAUCUUUCCAUCUCACUGAUGAGUUUGAUUGUGGUGGUGCAAAACUGCAAAGCUUGUUGUCUUGUUCGGUUCAAGCGAUCGGUUCAUUAUUUUAUUUUGGUCUAUGCUUCCAUGCCGGAACAUCUAUCAAUCAGUCAAUGAUAUGAACUCAAGUUAUCUGUGUCAUGUAGCUGCGCGGCUGCUACUAUGAACUGUAAGUACUAUCUACUUGGCUUCAGGUUAUGAAACCUCACAACUUUUUAUGAUUCAAACAGUAAAAAAUAGCUUCACUUCAGGAAAUUCUACCAAAAACACCAAAGUUGAAUCAUCUCAGCAUUGUUUGGGAAACAGCAAUGGCUAAGAGACUUUGUGGUGUUAUAGCAUACUUUCAGUUUCUCUGUUAUCACGUUCUCAAUUUCUUCUCGCAGUAGAGGGCCAAGAGACUAAUGAUUCAAAUGCCUCCCAUAGAGGCAAAAGCUGAACCUUCUACCUCACCAAAUCAUUUGGUAUAUUCAGGGAUUAUCAUGGACAUAUGGACUCAUGGAGUAGAAAAGCAGAAACAUCUGGUUUCUAGCU
Triticum dicoccoides is the source of this 2091-nucleotide long non-coding RNA. RefSeq lists it as uncharacterized. The record is from RefSeq and is a predicted model, not a curated record. Lineage: Eukaryota; Viridiplantae; Streptophyta; Magnoliopsida; Poales; Poaceae. The transcript is spliced from 4 exons.